UACGAAGGGGGCUAGCGUUGCUCGGAUUGACUGGGCGUAAAGGGCGCGUAGGCGGUUCGUACAGUCAGACGUGAAAUUCCUGGGCUCAACCUGGGGGCUGCGUUUGAUACGUGCGGACUUGAGUGCGGAAGAGGGUCGUGGAAUUCCCAGUGUAGAGGUGAAAUUCGUAGAUAUUGGGAAGAACACCGGUGGCGAAGGCGGCUCUCUGGACCGAUACUGACGCUGAGGCGCGAAAGCGUGGGGAGCAAACAGG
Molecule: ribosomal RNA, 253 nt
Filed under: uncultured bacterium
Lineage: Bacteria
Description: partial 16S ribosomal RNA
Rfam family: Bacterial small subunit ribosomal RNA
Source: RNAcentral